CUCUAACCUUUAAGUCGUCGUUCCUAACUAUCAAAUCUCUUAUCACCUCACUGUCUGUGUACUCCUCGCUAGAGUCCAUCGUCUCUUGGGUCAAGGAAUUACUAUCUUGACUUUCGUCAUCCAUCCUAUGACCACAAUAAACGAGACAACAUUAGUACUGAAAUAAAAUAUAUUCAUCGAUAAAAUGAAGUAAUAUUUUAUUUAGUACAACUAAAACUUGAUGGAUCUCUUCAACUCAUCAUAUCCUAUAACUUCUCACCAGAGUACUUCGUCUCUUGGUUCACUGAAUAUCUAUCUCAACUUUCGUCCUUCAUUCUACUAAGGUGAUAACCUAGGUUUCGC
This 342-nucleotide long non-coding RNA is filed under the name Panax ginseng (ginseng). RNAcentral describes it as "long non-coding RNA (PGIN_LNC009340)". The record is from RNAcentral. Lineage: Eukaryota; Viridiplantae; Streptophyta; Magnoliopsida; Apiales; Araliaceae.